GUGCUCGCCUCGGCAGCACAUAUACUAAAAUUGGAAUGAUACAGAGUAGAUUAGCAGAGCCCCUGCGCAAGGAUGACAUGCAAAUUCGUGAAGCAUUCCAUAUUUUU
Molecule: small nuclear RNA, 107 nt
Filed under: Saimiri boliviensis boliviensis (Bolivian squirrel monkey)
Lineage: Eukaryota; Metazoa; Chordata; Mammalia; Primates; Cebidae
Source: RNAcentral